CGUACAACUUCUCCGAGCGUCCCAGCGCGUGAAUGAGAAUUGAGUAAAGCAGUUCGUAAGAGAAACAAACGUUGUGCUUUUGAAGCCACGUAACGAGUGCGUACGCCGUAGAAAUUGAGGAUGACGUUGAGGCGAAGUUUUUCAGAAGAGAGUGCCAGACUGGGGCCGGGACGGCUCGGUAUGACUCGGCGAGUUUUAACUCGGCCAGGUCGAGUUGAGUGGGUGAAGAAGUGUCUGAAUUGGGGUCAGUGGCGCCGUAGAAAUUGAGGAUGACGUGGAGGCGAGGUUUUUCAGAAGAGAGUGCCAGACUGGGGCCGGGACGGCUCGGUAUGACUCGGCGAGUUUUAACUCGGCCGGGUCGAGUUGAGUGGGUGAAGAAGUGUCUGAAUUGGGGUCAGUGGGCGUAUAAGUGGAUAGAAAUUGAAGGAGAGGAGUGAAAUCGUAACGGCGAUUCGGGUACGAAACGACGUCAUAUUCAUCCUCUUCCACUUCGACUUCGAGGUUAUCGAUAUUGAAUUGCUCGGAGAUAGAGAGAUGGGAAGUUGAGGCGGCGAAAGGCGGUGGUCGGAGAACUUGACGGUG
This 582-nucleotide long non-coding RNA is filed under the name Nicotiana benthamiana. RNAcentral describes it as "long non-coding RNA (NBEN_LNC039978)". The record is from RNAcentral. Lineage: Eukaryota; Viridiplantae; Streptophyta; Magnoliopsida; Solanales; Solanaceae.